AAAUUGAAGAGUUUGAUCAUGGCUCAGAUUGAACGCUGGCGGCAGGCCUAACACAUGCAAGUCGAACGGUAACAGAAAGAAGCUUGCUUCUUUGCUGACGAGUGGCGGACGGGUGAGUAAUGUCUGGGAAACUGCCUGAUGGAGGGGGAUAACUACUGGAAACGGUAGCUAAUACCGCAUAACGUCGCAAGACCAAAGAGGGGGACCUUCGGGCCUCUUGCCAUCGGAUGUGCCCAGAUGGGAUUAGCUUGUUGGUGGGGUAACGGCUCACCAAGGCGACGAUCCCUAGCUGGUCUGAGAGGAUGACCAGCCACACUGGAACUGAGACACGGUCCAGACUCCUACGGGAGGCAGCAGUGGGGAAUAUUGCACAAUGGGCG
Molecule: ribosomal RNA, 380 nt
Filed under: Escherichia coli
Lineage: Bacteria; Pseudomonadati; Pseudomonadota; Gammaproteobacteria; Enterobacterales; Enterobacteriaceae
Description: bacterial SSU rRNA
Rfam family: Bacterial small subunit ribosomal RNA
Source: RNAcentral